AACGAACGCUGGCGGCAUGCCUAACACAUGCAAGUCGAACGAGACUUCGGUCUAGUGGCGGACGGGUGAGUAACGCGUAGGAACCUACCAAGUAGUGGGGGAUAACAGCUGGAAACGGCUGCUAAUACCGCAUACGCCCUUCGGGGGAAAGAUUUAUCGCUAUUUGAGGGUCCUGCGUUCGAUUAGCUUGUUGGCGGGGUAACAGCCCCCCAAGGCUACGAUGGUUAGCCGGCCUGAGAGGGUGAUCGGCCACACUGGAACUGAGACACGGUCCAGACUCC
RNAcentral lists this ribosomal RNA (281 nucleotides) under unidentified marine bacterioplankton. RNAcentral describes it as "partial 16S ribosomal RNA". It matches the Rfam family "Bacterial small subunit ribosomal RNA", at positions 29 to 339 of the family's 1533-position model. The record is from RNAcentral.